RNAcentral lists this ribosomal RNA (384 nucleotides) under uncultured bacterium. Its description in RNAcentral is "bacterial SSU rRNA". It matches the Rfam family "Bacterial small subunit ribosomal RNA", at positions 370 to 772 of the family's 1533-position model. The record is from RNAcentral.
AAUGGAGGGAACUCUGAUGCAGCGACGCCGCGUGAGUGAAGAAGGUCUUCGGAUCGUAAAACUCUGUCCUUGGUGAAGAUAAUGACGGUAGCCAAGGAGGAAGCCCCGGCUAACUACGUGCCAGCAGCCGCGGUAAUACGUAGGGGGCUAGCGUUGUCCGGAUUUACUGGGCGUAAAGGGUGAGUAGGCGGUUGCAUAUGUCAGAUGUAAAAGGCACAGGCUUAACUUGUGUUAGCAUUUGAAACUGUGCGACUUGAGUGCAGGAGAGGUAAGUGGAAUUCCUAGUGUAGCGGUGAAAUGCGUAGAUAUUAGGAGGAACACCAGUGGCGAAGGCGACUUACUGGACUGUAACUGACGCUGAGUCACGAAAGCGUGGGUAGCAAA